This 497-nucleotide ribosomal RNA is filed under the name uncultured bacterium. Its description in RNAcentral is "partial 16S ribosomal RNA". It matches the Rfam family "Bacterial small subunit ribosomal RNA", at positions 28 to 507 of the family's 1533-position model. The record is from RNAcentral.
GAUGAACGCUGGCGGCGUGCCUAAUACAUGCAAGUCGAGCGAACAGACGAGGAGCUUGCUCCUCUGACGUUAGCGGCGGACGGGUGAGUAACACGUGGAUAACCUACCUAUAAGACUGGGAUAACUUCGGGAAACCGGAGCUAAUACCGGAUAACAUGUUGAACCGCAUGGUUCAACAGUGAAAGACGGUCUGGCUGUCACUUAUAGAUGGAUCCGCGCCGCAUUAGCUAGUUGGUAAGGUAACGGCUUACCAAGGCAACGAUGCGUAGCCGACCUGAGAGGGUGAUCGGCCACACUGGAACUGAGACACGGUCCAGACUCCUACGGGAGGCAGCAGUAGGGAAUCUUCCGCAAUGGGCGAAAGCCUGACGGAGCAACGCCGCGUGAGUGAAGAAGGUCUUCGGAUCGUAAAACUCUGUUAUUAGGGAAGAACAAAUGUGUAAGUAACUAUGCACGUCUUGACGGUACCUAAUCAGAAAGCCACGGCUAACUACGUG